Long non-coding RNA from Tachysurus fulvidraco (yellow catfish), 249 nucleotides. RefSeq lists it as uncharacterized. NCBI's taxonomy places the organism in Eukaryota, Metazoa, Chordata, Actinopteri, Siluriformes, Bagridae. The record is from RefSeq and is a predicted model, not a curated record. The transcript is spliced from 3 exons.
AUGACUUCUCAGACCAAAUUCGUGAUGCUUCUUAUUCUCGCCACAGCAGGAGCAGCUUUGGAUCUGCCAGUAAAGAACUGCCCAACUGGAUGGACCUUCUAUUCUGGUCGCUGCUACUUGUACAAUGCCGCCAGACUGGAUUGGGCUUCUGCAGAGAAAUUCUGUCAGAAAUUUGAUGCACACUUGGUCUCAAUACACAGUGAGAAUGAAUAUCAGCAGAUAAGGGCUCUUAUCCGUACUCAUGACCCC